This is a long non-coding RNA of Esox lucius (northern pike), 882 nucleotides long. RefSeq lists it as uncharacterized. The record is from RefSeq and is a predicted model, not a curated record. Lineage: Eukaryota; Metazoa; Chordata; Actinopteri; Esociformes; Esocidae. The transcript has 3 exons.
CUUCCCCUAGUCAAUCGUCUGUCCCCCCCUAAUCAAUUGUCAGUCCUCCCUUGGUAAAUCGUCAGCCCUCCUCCCGUCAAACAUCAGCAAUCCCCUUAGUAAAGUAUCAGUCAAAAGUAUAUGAUUUCUCCCAGCGAAUAAAACGAGCAGAAACACUGGAACUAUUAUCACAUGGACUCAAUAAAGAAGAGGUGCUAGCUUGUGUAAGGAACAUGGGAGACCCCAAAGCUCUUUAUGAAGCCCUAAAGAAAGAGCUAGAUGAAGAUGCAGAAGCCAUUUUUAAAGUGGCAAAAGAAUGUCAACAUAAGGGCAAAAGUAAGCGCAAACAUUUUCCACUUUCCAAAGCCACAGAGCAAAAAUAUAUAAAAAUAAGGAUCCGUCCAAUGGCUUGGAAAGAAAAAACUAAAGUGACAGGGGGAAAGUACAUUAGAGUUGUUGCUGAGGAGGAGUCGUCCACAUUUUUACUGGACCCCACUGAUGGCUACAAUGAAAUUGUGGCCGCUGCCAAAGACAGACUUUGACCUUCCAGGUCUUCACACUCUGCCAUGACGAUGGGACACCUUGGCCAAGGGCGGACUUUGAAUAAGAGCAUAUGACCCUAUCAGAAAUAAAGGAUGUCUGGAAGAAAACUUUCUUUGUUGGACGAAGAUCCAUGGGUAAUAUUUAGUUCAGUGCCAUGAUAAUAAUACAUUUUGGGGAUACUUAUUCUUGAUAUGCAUUAUUGGAUGUAAUCGGUUUUCAAACAGCAGGAUACAGUUACUGGGCUGAGGAACGGGUAAGAUAACAGUAUAUAAGCCUCUUCAAUAUGUAUGACAAUGUUACUAUUACCAGAAUUCAGUGGUACAUAUUGAAUGUGUUUUAAAAAGUUCUCUACAACUGUUG